Molecule: long non-coding RNA, 751 nt
Organism: Lutra lutra (Eurasian river otter)
Lineage: Eukaryota; Metazoa; Chordata; Mammalia; Carnivora; Mustelidae
Exons: 4
Source: RefSeq, a predicted model, not a curated record
GGAUUAGCAGUCCCACCCUCCCUGCAAUUCUCAGAAUGGGUCCUGGUUCAUCCAUGGGGUCCACAAGGGCUCGACAAAUAACUAAUGAUGUCUUGUCAAUAUAGGCUACAACUGGAUUCUAAAAUGUGUAUGACAAGAACUUCAUUAAUGAAAACAAAACCUUCUUUAUCACUGCAUAGUCACUAACCUAGAGAGGAAGAAGCUACUCCAGCCAGAGAUUCUAUAUUAUAUAGGGAGAGAACAUAUUUCCAUACAUUUGGUGAUAAGGGUUGGAUUUUCAUCAAGCCAUUUCCUAGAACUUCCUUUGGCACAAAGAACAAGCAUUCUGUUCUCAUCUUGAAAGUUUUUGCACAUAAGCCAGCAGUAAGCCAGCAAACUACUAUGAUCCUUCUCCCAAACAGGAAACCCAUUGGACAGAAUGUAAUAUCAACAGAUCAAGAAAUAACUGGAUGAACACAAUUGUCCAGAAGAAACAACUCCUUCCACCGUCUUCAGAAAGGAGGUACUGAGACGAAGGGAAGAGGCCCUGGUUUGCUCACCAGUCUCACCUGACCACAGAGCUUCUGAGACCUACCAUGACUCUGGGACAAAGGAUCAUUCACAUAUCUGGGGUGAAGGACGUUUGAAAUUUGGAGAGCAAAUGUGAUAUGCUUAAUGCUAUGACUUCCAAAUGAGCAUUGAGCGUAAUUUUGUAAAAGUCCAUAUCCACUGAAGUUCCUAACUAGUCAGAAUUUGAAGUAGAAUAAAUAUA